Non-coding RNA from Candidatus Burkholderia verschuerenii, 69 nucleotides. Lineage: Bacteria; Pseudomonadati; Pseudomonadota; Betaproteobacteria; Burkholderiales; Burkholderiaceae. The record is from Rfam.
AAAGUCCACUGCGAUGAAGGAGUAGCGAACCACAUCGGCCCCGAGCCGUGCGCAGGUCACCGCGAGGUG